This is a long non-coding RNA of Myodes glareolus (Bank vole), 319 nucleotides long. RefSeq lists it as uncharacterized. Lineage: Eukaryota; Metazoa; Chordata; Mammalia; Rodentia; Cricetidae. The record is from RefSeq and is a predicted model, not a curated record.
AGGAUGUCAUCUUGUGGCCCCAGUCAUCCCUCAUCUUGAGAUGCUUCAGCCUUCUGCACGAGAGGAGUACAGGUAUGAUGUCCAGCUGCUUCGAGACUGAGAUGGCCAUGUCCCCGUGAAGGACUCAGUCUGCACAUCCAUGCCGGGAAGAAGACGGUGAAGUGCUGUGUCUAACAUCAGUGAGGGGACAUCAUUUAGUUAGACAGGGACUCUCAGAGCUGUCUCGGCAGUGGGAUGAAUAACCUAAAGAACCCGCUGGACUUUAAAGAACAAAUCAAGGAAAUCAGCAAAAGCGAAUAAAGAAAUGUGGACUCUUGGA